UUGCCUUGACCUCCGUGGCUCUGGGACCCUGAGCGAUCCUCUUCUCUCAGGCCCCCGAGUCUGCGGCGGGGCAUCUGGAGCCCCACAGCCAGAGACUGAGCACACGCCAGAAACAGCUCCACCUCAUAAAGAAAACACCAGACUUGGAUAAGACUUUUCUGGAGAUUUCCAUCAGUUGUGAGCUCCGUGUUUGAGGCUGGACUUGAGAUGUCCUUGCAGCUGUGACCACAGGAAAAUACAUGACGGCUGGGAUGCGGUCUCCUCGGUGCUAACGUGGGGCCAGUGACGGCCUGCAGACUGAGCUCUACCUACCAAGCUCUUGGCUCGAAGCAGGGCUCGUGUGUCAAUGUGGAUAAGUGUGCGCCUGCCCCAGCCUGAGGGCCUUGCUGACAGCCCUCCCCCCUCCUUGCCCGGCUACCAUCCACAGACCAGCUUGGAGGCAGCACUGGGAGGCUGGCAGGUUUCGUGGCCGCGGGUAACAACGGGGUGGCAAGGUGGCAGGGACUUCAGCCACUGACACAACAGAAGGAGGAUGUGUCACCUGAUGUCUGGAGGCAGCAAGAUGAAUCUUCCUCCAGCUCAGGACAUGAUCUCAUGGUUCGCGGG
Molecule: long non-coding RNA, 606 nt
Organism: Hyaena hyaena (striped hyena)
Lineage: Eukaryota; Metazoa; Chordata; Mammalia; Carnivora; Hyaenidae
Exons: 4
Source: RefSeq, a predicted model, not a curated record